ACAGCAGUUCUCAGAAGGUGCCUGGUUGUCCCGUGGCGGAGGGCUGCAAAGCCAGGUAUGAAAGUUGUACAUCUUUUUUCUUUGGAUGUAAAACUUGCAUCCAACGGACUCACACACGAUGCACACACCUGACGUCUACACUCGCAGGAUCUUCCUCACUGCCUACGCCGGGGCAGCCCAGGCAGUCCCAGGAGAGCGAACACUGUCACCAGCCACAGAAGUUCCCGCGAGCCGCGUCCGGGUCAGUCCGGCCCCGCCCACCUCCCCGCCUCGAGGCCGUCGCUGUCCUGAUUGGCUGGGGAGACAGGGUAUGGAGAAGGAGCCCAGCUGUUGAAGAGAGGGGAAUGGUCAAACCGGCAAGAGGAAGAGCAAAGGAGCAUCGGAGUGGAAACUUCACCUGGGUAUAUAGAGCAGAUCCAGAGAGAUCAAGGAGAAACCAUGGAGCUAUCAGGGAGGAAAGAGUCCCACCAGAAGGAAGUGCAAAGGCCCUGAGGACACUGUCAUCGGAUUUAUGGCCCCUCCCACAUCCAGGAUGAUCUCAUCUUCACAUCCUGAUUUAAUGACAUCAGCCAAAAGCUCUGUUUCCAAAUAAGUUCCAUUCACAGGUCCCCAGGGGGCAAGCUUCAGCAUGACUUUUUGGGGUCACCAGUCAACCCAACAUAGAUGGAAAAAUGCAGGCUCCAAGUAGAAGGGACCUCACCGUGCGUUGCCACAGCCAAGGGACGGCCCUGCCCUGGGGAUCCCAGGCACACCUCUGUCUCUGGACCGGCGCUGCCCGGGUUCUGGGACCAUCUGGAGAAGUGUUCAGUGAAAAACCAUCUGGGCCGCGUCUGGGCCUCAGGGUGGGGCUGCGCCUGGGCGGAGGUUCCCUUCCUGGCUGCUGGCCGAGGCCACACGCUGGUGAACACGUCAUACCCUGGCCAGUGUCCCUGCGGGGGCCAGAGACAGCCCUGGACACUGUGGCGCUGGGAGAGGACCGUGGAACUCCUGCCGUCGGGUCAGAGAACACUGUAGGGUUGACCCUGGAAUCCAGCUCCCAACCCUCCAGCCCGGAGCCCAGGGAGGGUCCAGCCAGGGAACCCACAAGGCGGCCACUCUGCCCGUGUUUGGUUUUUUCUUUCUUUCCUCCCCCACCCCCCACCUUGACAUUUGGCCUUGGGCACAUCACCGUCUUCCUAGCCUCAGUUCUCACUGCAGACCAGGGACACAGCAGGGUGACCUCACAGUCCUCAAAAGACACCCCCUCCCCACCCCCAACCCAUCAAGCAGCUGAGGCAGAGCCUGAGGUGGGUCAGCAGAGACCAGCUAAGACAUCAGUGGUCGCAAGGACA
Non-coding RNA from Ictidomys tridecemlineatus (thirteen-lined ground squirrel), 1331 nucleotides. Lineage: Eukaryota; Metazoa; Chordata; Mammalia; Rodentia; Sciuridae. The record is from RefSeq and is a predicted model, not a curated record.